UGGGGAAUAUUGGACAAUGGGCGCAAGCCUGAUCCAGCAAUGCCGCGUGGGUGAAGAAGGCCUUCGGGUUGUAAAGCCCUUUUGUACGGGAAGAAAUCCUGUCGGUUAAUACCCGGCGGGGAUGACGGUACCGUAAGAAUAAGCACCGGCUAACUUCGUGCCAGCAGCCGCGGUAAUACGAAGGGUGCAAGCGUUAAUCGGAAUUACUGGGCGUAAAGCGUGCGCAGGCGGUUAUGUAAGACAGAUGUGAAAUCCCCGGGCUCAACCUGGGAACUGCAUUUGUGACUGCAUAGCUAGAGUACGGUAGAGGGGGAUGGAAUUCCGCGUGUAGCAGUGAAAUGCGUAGAUAUGCGGAGGAACACCGAUGGCGAAGGCAAUCCCCUGGACCUGUACUGACGCUCAUGCACGAAAGCGUGGGGAGCAAA
RNAcentral lists this ribosomal RNA (425 nucleotides) under uncultured bacterium. RNAcentral's name for it is "bacterial SSU rRNA". It matches the Rfam family "Bacterial small subunit ribosomal RNA", at positions 355 to 772 of the family's 1533-position model. The record is from RNAcentral.